This is a small nuclear RNA of Metopolophium dirhodum (rose-grain aphid), 114 nucleotides long. The record is from RefSeq and is a predicted model, not a curated record. NCBI's taxonomy places the organism in Eukaryota, Metazoa, Arthropoda, Insecta, Hemiptera, Aphididae.
GUGUUGUAUAAAAGGAGAGACGGUUAGCACUCCCCUAGACAAGGAUGGAAUUACACACAUAUACGGUCAUGGGCACUGCUGUGUGUUGCGCACAGCACAUGACCACAUUUUUUA